Molecule: ribosomal RNA, 253 nt
Filed under: uncultured bacterium
Lineage: Bacteria
Description: partial 16S ribosomal RNA
Rfam family: Bacterial small subunit ribosomal RNA
Source: RNAcentral
UACGUAGGGGGCGAGCGUUGUCCGGCGUUACUGGGCGUAAAGCGCUUGUAGGCGGUCCACCAAGUUUGGGGUGACAGUUGCCGACUUAAUCGGCAAAGUGCCUCAAAGACUGGCGGACUUGAGGGCCACAGAGGGACAUGGAACUCCAGGUGUAGUGGUGAAAUGCGUAGAUAUCUGGAAGAACACCAAAGGCGAAGGCAGUGUCCUGGGUGGUCGCUGACGCUGAGAGGCGAAAGCCAGGGGAGCGAACGGG